CAGUCGCCGCGGGAAUACGAGGGGUGCAGGCGUUAUUCGGAUUGAUUGGGUGUAAGGGGUGUGCAGACGGCUUAUUAAGUCACUUGUUAAAUUCUUCGGCCUAACUGAAGGUCUGCAAGUGAUACUGAUGAGCUAGAGGGUGGAAGAGAGAAGUGGAAUUCUCGGAGUAGCGGUAAAAUGCGUAGAUCUCGAGAGGAACACCAAUGGCGAAGGCAGCUUCUUGGUCCAUUCCUGACGUUCAUACACGAAAGCGUGGGGAGCAAACAGGAUUAGAUACCCCCGUAGUCCCUGUCUCUUAUAA
RNAcentral lists this ribosomal RNA (301 nucleotides) under uncultured bacterium. RNAcentral describes it as "partial 16S ribosomal RNA". It matches the Rfam family "Bacterial small subunit ribosomal RNA", at positions 509 to 809 of the family's 1533-position model. The record is from RNAcentral.